This 74-nucleotide transfer RNA is filed under the name Flavilitoribacter nigricans. It matches the Rfam family "tRNA". Rfam says of the family: Transfer RNA (tRNA) molecules are approximately 80 nucleotides in length. Their secondary structure includes four short double-helical elements and three loops (D, anti-codon, and T loops). Further hydrogen bonds mediate the characteristic L-shaped molecular structure. tRNAs have two regions of fundamental functional importance: the anti-codon, which is responsible for specific mRNA codon recognition, and the 3' end, to which the tRNAs corresponding amino acid is attached (by aminoacyl-tRNA synthetases). tRNAs cope with the degeneracy of the genetic code in two manners: having more than one tRNA (with a specific anti-codon) for a particular amino acid; and 'wobble' base-pairing, i.e. permitting non-standard base-pairing at the 3rd anti-codon position. The record is from RNAcentral. RNAcentral also lists the same sequence under 1 other name. Lineage: Bacteria; Pseudomonadati; Bacteroidota; Saprospiria; Saprospirales; Lewinellaceae.
GGCUCCGUAGCUCAACUGGAUAGAGCAUCCCGAUACGAUCGGGAAGGUUUAAGGUUCGAGUCCAAACGGAGUCU